UACAGAGGGUGCGAGCGUUAAUCGGAUUUACUGGGCGUAAAGGGCGUGUAGGCGGGAUGAUGAGUCAGACGUGAAAUACCUGGGCUUAACCUAGGGAUGUCGUUUGAUACUGUUAUUCUUGAGUGGAGUAGAGGGUAGUGGAAUUUCCGGUGUAGCGGUGAAAUGCGUAGAUAUCGGAAGGAACACCAGUGGCGAAGGCGGCUACCUGGACUCACACUGACGCUGAGGCGCGAGAGCGUGGGGAGCGAACAGG
Molecule: ribosomal RNA, 253 nt
Filed under: uncultured bacterium
Lineage: Bacteria
Description: partial 16S ribosomal RNA
Rfam family: Bacterial small subunit ribosomal RNA
Source: RNAcentral